AAUAAAAACAUUUAGUGUGGAUGGUCGCAAUGUUUAGAUGCAAACAAAACAAUAUUAUUUAUAAAUGGAUUAUAUAUAUCAUCUAGGGAAAACAGUGUAAAAUGCGCUUAUUUUCGAGAUAGCACGCUUCCAUGCAGACUGUUUUUUUAAGCAGAAGUUUGGUUUCAUAAGAAACACAUGCGUGAGUCAACUCUUGGUCCAAACUCCAAUCCAGACGGUGGCGGUAAUGUUCCAAAAGCUGGUUGCCAACCGCUAUGAUGAUCACAAGAAGAAAAAGAAGUUUGGCGUUUCAAAACAGUGGAUUCCGGUCAGAAAGACACACAUGAGGAAGCUCGACUCAGCUUGGCUUGCAGACAGAUGAGGACGGUGAUUGCCUGUCAUACACCUAAAGAAAGAACAGGGGCAUUAAAGACACAACUAUAGUGAACGUGAUGAAGAAAAAUUAUUUGGAACAAAGAGGCUGGAAUGAAGAUUUCAGAAAUUGAUGCAGCACCGCAAGUACCAUCACCACCAAUGACUAUGGCAGGAUCCUUAAGAACACCAUCAAGAUGCACAGAUGCUGUACAUUCCAGUACACCUAUGAACAUUUACAGUCCUUGUUCAAGUGCAGUCGGAGAUCAAGACAACUUAUUGCAACUCGUCAUGUCUUUCACGACUGAAAAAAAAGUUUUAAAAUCAUGUGACGUCAUAAAGCA
This is a non-coding RNA of Danio rerio (zebrafish), 695 nucleotides long. Lineage: Eukaryota; Metazoa; Chordata; Actinopteri; Cypriniformes; Danionidae. The record is from RefSeq and is a predicted model, not a curated record.